AGAGUUUGAUCAUGGCUCAGAUUGAACGCUGGCGGCAGGCCUAACACAUGCAAGUCGAGCGGAUGAGUGGAGCUUGCUCCAUGAUUCAGCGGCGGACGGGUGAGUAAUGCCUAGGAAUCUGCCUGGUAGUGGGGGACAACGUUUCGAAAGGAACGCUAAUACCGCAUACGUCCUACGGGAGAAAGCAGGGGACCUUCGGGCCUUGCGCUAUCAGAUGAGCCUAGGUCGGAUUAGCUAGUUGGUGAGGUAAAGGCACACCAAGGCGACGAUCCGUAACUGGUCUGAGAGGAUGAUCAGUCACACUGGAACUGAGACACGGUCCAGACUCCUACGGGAGGCAGCAGUGGGGAAUAUUGGACAAUGGGCGAAAGCCUGAUCCAGCCAUGCCGCGUGUGUGAAGAAGGUUUUCGGAUUGUAAAGCACUUUAAGUUGGGAGGAAGGGCAGUAAGCUAAUACCUUGCUGUUUUGACGUUACCGACAGAAUAAGCACCGGCUAACUUCGUGCCAGCAGCCGCGGUAAUACGAAGGGUGCAAGCGUUAAUCGGAAUUACUGGGCGUAAAGCGCGCGUAGGUGGUUCAGCAAGUUGGAUGUGAAAGCCCCGGGCUCAACCUGGGAACUGCAUCCAAAACUACUGAGCUAGAGUACGGUAGAGGGUGGUGGAAUUUCCUGUGUAGCGGUGAAAUGCGUAGAUAUAGGAAGGAACACCAGUGGCGAAGGCGACCACCUGGACUGAUACUGACACUGAGGUGCGAAAGCGUGGGGAGCAAACAGGAUUAGAUACCCCGGUAGUCC
RNAcentral lists this ribosomal RNA (793 nucleotides) under uncultured bacterium. RNAcentral describes it as "bacterial SSU rRNA". It matches the Rfam family "Bacterial small subunit ribosomal RNA", at positions 8 to 796 of the family's 1533-position model. The record is from RNAcentral.